Molecule: non-coding RNA, 353 nt
Organism: Camelina sativa (false flax)
Lineage: Eukaryota; Viridiplantae; Streptophyta; Magnoliopsida; Brassicales; Brassicaceae
Source: RefSeq, a predicted model, not a curated record
AAAUUGAGGAAAUCUUUCAAAGAGAUGACUGAAAGAGAGAAAAAAAAAAAAACUUUGAACUAAUUAAGAUCAUAUGCUUCGAUUCUGUAUUUGUUUUCACCACACUUUGUUUCUCUAGAUAUAUAUAUAGAUCAGACAUUGAUGAGUCUAAUUCAUUAUUUGAAUGGCAGGAAAUGAUGAGAUUGAGGAAAUCUUUCAAAGAGAUGACUGAAACUACGAAAGACCUGCAGGAUUAUCUCAUGGGAAAGGCUUAUCUACCGGGGAUGGAAUUGAAUGAGUUUUUUCUGACCAAGGCCCCGGAUACUUCAUCCUCCAAGUAGGAGGAGGAGGAGGAGGAGGAAGAAGAGGACGAC